This 631-nucleotide ribosomal RNA is filed under the name uncultured Lactarius. RNAcentral describes it as "eukaryotic LSU rRNA". The stretch from base 177 to 330 matches the Rfam family "5.8S ribosomal RNA". Lineage: Eukaryota; Fungi; Basidiomycota; Agaricomycetes; Russulales; Russulaceae. The record is from RNAcentral.
UCAAAGUCGUGCACGCCCGAGUGUGUCGCCUCACAUAAUAAUCCAUCUCACCCUUUGUGCAUCACCGCGUGGGCACCCCUUUGGGAUCAUCUCGGAGGGGGCUCGCGUUUUCACACAAAACCCCCCUUUUAAAAGUGUAGAAUGACCUCAUUUAUGCGCUAACCCGCAAUCAAUACAACUUUCAACAACGGAUCUCUUGGCUCUCGCAUCGAUGAAGAACGCAGCGAAAUGCGAUACGUAAUGUGAAUUGCAGAAUUCAGUGAAUCAUCGAAUCUUUGAACGCACCUUGCGCCCCCUGGUAUUCCGAGGGGCACACCCGUUUGAGUGUCGUGAAAACCUCAACCUCCUUGGUUUCUUCUGGAGACCAAAGCAGGCUUGGACUUUGGAGGCCUUUGCUGGCACCUCUCGCCAGCUCCUCUUAAAUGAAUUAGCAGGGUCCUCUUUGCUGAUCCUCGACGUGUGAUAAGAUGUUUCCAUGUCUUGGUUUCUGGCUCUGUCACCUUUGGGACCCGCUUCUAACCGUCUUCAACCUUGCGUUGAGACAACGUUCGAGCAUGUCUCCCUUCUCGGGAAGCUCCCUCGACCCCACGAACCCUUGACCUCAAAUCGGGUGAGACUACCCGCUGAACUU